RNAcentral lists this ribosomal RNA (253 nucleotides) under uncultured bacterium. RNAcentral's name for it is "partial 16S ribosomal RNA". It matches the Rfam family "Bacterial small subunit ribosomal RNA", at positions 524 to 776 of the family's 1533-position model. The record is from RNAcentral.
UACGUAGGGUGCGAGCGUUGUCCGGAAUUAUUGGGCGUAAAGCGCGUGUAGGCGGCUUUGCAAGUCGGGUGUGAAAGCCCUCAGCUUAACUGAGGAAGUGCGCCCGAAACUGCCGAGCUUGAAUACCGGAGAGGAUGGCGGAAUUCCCCAAGUAGAGGUGAAAUUCGUAGAUAUGGGGAGGAACACCGGUGGCGAAGGCGGCCAUCUGGACGGCUAUUGACGCUGAGACGCGAAAGCGUGGGGAGCAAACAGG